Molecule: ribosomal RNA, 1470 nt
Filed under: metagenome
Description: bacterial SSU rRNA
Rfam family: Bacterial small subunit ribosomal RNA
Source: RNAcentral
AGAGUUUGAUCAUGGCUCAGGACGAACGCUGGCGGCACGCUUAACACAUGCAAGUCGAACGAGAGAAGAGGAGCUUGCUUUUCUGAUCUAGUGGCGGACGGGUGAGUAACACGUGAGCAAUCUGCCUUUCAGAGGGGGAUACCGAUUGGAAACGAUCGUUAAUACCGCAUAACAUAAUUGAACCGCAUGAUUUGAUUAUCAAAGAUUUGUCGCUGAAAGAUGAGCUCGCGUCUGAUUAGCUAGUUGGUAAGGUAACGGCUUACCAAGGCGACGAUCAGUAGCCGGACUGAGAGGUUGAUCGGCCACAUUGGGACUGAGACACGGCCCAGACUCCUACGGGAGGCAGCAGUGGGGAAUAUUGCACAAUGGAGGAAACUCUGAUGCAGCGAUGCCGCGUGAGGGAAGAAGGUUUUAGGAUUGUAAACCUCUGUCUUCAGGGACGAAAAAAGACGGUACCUGAGGAGGAAGCUCCGGCUAACUACGUGCCAGCAGCCGCGGUAAUACGUAGGGAGCGAGCGUUGUCCGGAAUUACUGGGUGUAAAGGGAGCGUAGGCGGGAUCGCAAGUCAGAUGUGAAAACUAUGGGCUUAACCCAUAAACUGCAUUUGAAACUGUGGUUCUUGAGUGAAGUAGAGGUAAGCGGAAUUCCUAGUGUAGCGGUGAAAUGCGUAGAUAUUAGGAGGAACAUCAGUGGCGAAGGCGGCUUACUGGGCUUUAACUGACGCUGAGGCUCGAAAGCGUGGGGAGCAAACAGGAUUAGAUACCCUGGUAGUCCACGCCGUAAACGAUGAUUACUAGGUGUGGGGGGACUGACCCCUUCCGUGCCGCAGCAAACGCAAUAAGUAAUCCACCUGGGGAGUACGACCGCAAGGUUGAAACUCAAAGGAAUUGACGGGGGCCCGCACAAGCAGUGGAGUAUGUGGAUUAAUUCGAAGCAACGCGAAGAACCUUACCAGGUCUUGACAUCGUAUGCAUAGCUCAGAGAUGAGUGAAAUCUCUUCGGAGACAUAUAGACAGGUGGUGCAUGGUUGUCGUCAGCUCGUGUCGUGAGAUGUUGGGUUAAGUCCCGCAACGAGCGCAACCCUUACUGUUAGUUGCUACGCAAGAGCACUCUAGCAGGACUGCCGUUGACAAAACGGAGGAAGGUGGGGAUGACGUCAAAUCAUCAUGCCCCUUAUGACCUGGGCCUCACACGUACUACAAUGGCUGUCAACAGAGGGAAGCAAAGCCGCGAGGUGGAGCGAACCCCUAAAAGCAGUCUUAGUUCGGAUUGUAGGCUGCAACCCGCCUACAUGAAGUCGGAAUUGCUAGUAAUCGCAGAUCAGCAUGCUGCGGUGAAUACGUUCCCGGGCCUUGUACACACCGCCCGUCACGCCAUGGGAGUCGGUAACACCCGAAGCCUGUAGUCUAACCGCAAGGAGGACGCAGUCGAAGGUGGGAUUGAUGACUGGGGUGAAGUCGUAACAAGGUA